Molecule: long non-coding RNA, 445 nt
Organism: Physeter macrocephalus (sperm whale)
Lineage: Eukaryota; Metazoa; Chordata; Mammalia; Artiodactyla; Physeteridae
Exons: 3
Source: RefSeq, a predicted model, not a curated record
GCCGCGUCCCCCUUAAAGACACAGCGCUCCAUUCAUGCGCCUGGAGUGGAAAGGGGGGAUGGAAACGUGUGACCUGGUGUUGAAAGGGCUGGGGAGUCACUCCCGAACCGUCCAGGUUCAAGGUGUGUGAUGGCGCAAGUCGUUAGAAGAAAUCCCCUGAACCAAGGUCUGGACAGAUAAAGCUCUGCAGGAUGCAACACAGAGCCACUUUGUUCAGCUGCAAUUUGGAGACAGGGUCAUAUCCGACUUUGGCUAUUUCUGUACAGACCACGGAUCCUUGAAGCAGGACACUCCUCCUUACCAGCAUCUGACUCAACAAACCCACCUGUCCACUUAAUUGGCGGCCACUACCCAGUAACUCCUACUGCCAAUACCAUAAGGUUUGUUUUGAAAACUUUGCAGCUUAUUGUAAUAUUGCUUGUAAUUGUGAAAAUUGAAAACAACG